ACCACAAGUUCUGUCAUGUGUUUUCUUCA
RNAcentral lists this non-coding RNA (29 nucleotides) under Mus musculus (house mouse). Lineage: Eukaryota; Metazoa; Chordata; Mammalia; Rodentia; Muridae. The record is from RNAcentral.